This 206-nucleotide long non-coding RNA is filed under the name Elaeis guineensis (African oil palm). RNAcentral describes it as "long non-coding RNA (EGUI_LNC071778)". The record is from RNAcentral. Lineage: Eukaryota; Viridiplantae; Streptophyta; Magnoliopsida; Arecales; Arecaceae.
CGUGCGUAGAUCCUAAUAGAGAUCGAAGAAGCAGAAUAUCUACGACACCCUCCAUCGAUGAGGAUGCCAUUGAGAAGCCGCGAUCGAAAGAAGUACUAUUGGUUCCAUCAUGAUCAUGGUCACGACACCGAAUAAUGCAUCCAACUCAAGGAUGAAAUAGAAGCCAUGAUUCGAUAAGGCUACCUUGAGAAGUUCUGGAGAGAUCC